AACUCGGAGAUAGCUGGUUCUCCCCGAAAUGUAUUUAGGUACAGCCUCAAUCGUAGUCUUAAGGAGGUAGGGCACUGGAUGGGAUAGGGGGCGUAAGCUUACCAAACCUAACCAAACCACGAAUGCCUUAAGAUGUUCAUUGGGAGUGAGACAGUGGGGGAUAAGCUUCAUUGUCGAAAGGGAAACAGCCCAGACCGCAGGUUAAGGCCCCUAAAUGUGAACUAAGUGUGAAAGGAAGUAAGAUUCCUAAAACAGCUAGGAGGUUGGCUUAGAAGCAGCCAUCCUUUGAAGAGUGCGUAACUGCUCACUAGUCGAGGAAUCUUGCGCCGAAAAUGUAACGGGGCUAAGUUCACUGCCGAAACCGCGGAUCUAAUAAUUUAUUAUUAGGUGGUAGGGGAGCGUUGUUAUCAGCAUAGAAGCUCAAAUGUGAGUUUGAGUGGAGCAAUGACAAGUGAGAAUGGCGGCAUGAGUAGCGACAAUCCUGGUGAGAAUCCAGGACACCGAAAGCCCAAGGUUUCCUACACAACGCUGAUCGAUGUAGGGUAAGUCGGGCCUAAGCCGUAGCGUGCAAGCGAAGGCGAUGGACAACGGGUUAAUAUUCCCGUACUGCUACUAUUUUGUUAUAAAGUAAAGGGGGGACACGGAAAGGUAAACGAAGCGUGCCUAUUGGACAUGGUACGUUCUAUCCCGUAGGCCAAGCUAUAAUAGGCAAAUCCGUUAUAGCGUUACGAGCUGAGAGGAUGGAGAACUUUCGGGCUUCGGCCCUAGGGAACUUCGUUGAUCCUAUACCGUCGAGAAAAGCCUCGUUACAAGAAAUAGAAGCAUCCGUACCGCAAACCGACACAGGUAGGCUGGGGUAAGUGUCCCAAGGUGAACGAGAUAACCCUCCUUAAGGAAUUCGACAAAUUAGCCCUGUAACUUUGGGAGAAAGGGUGCCCAUGAGGUGAAAUCCACUUGCUGGAUGGAGGCCUUUGUGGGUCGCAGCAAAGAGGCUCAGGCGACUGUUUAUCAAAAACACAGGUGUCUGCUAAACCGAAAGGUGAUGUAUAGGCGCUGACGCCUGCCCAGUGCCGGAAGGUUAAGGGAAUGGGUUCGUUAAAUUCGUUUAACAAAGCUCAGAACCGAAGCCCCGGUGAACGGCGGCCGUAACUAUAACGGUCCUAAGGUAGCGAAGUCCCUUGUCGGGUAAGUUCCGACCUGCACGAAUGGCGUCACGACCUGAGCGUUGUCUCAAGGGGGGACUCGGUGAAAUUGCAAGGCCAGUGAAGAUGCUGGCUACCCGCAACAGGACAAAAAGACCCCGUGGAGCUUUACUGCAACUUGACAGUGGAUUGUGGUUAUAUAUGUGUAGGAUAGGCGGGAGACUUUGAAGCUAUCACGCCAGUGAUAGUGGAGUCAACCUUGAAAUACCGCUCUUCUAUGACCUAUGUCCUAACCCCUUUGAAAUAGGGGGACACUGCCAGGUGGGCAGUUUGACUGGGGCGGUCGCCUCCUAAAGAGUAAC
This 1504-nucleotide ribosomal RNA is filed under the name marine metagenome. RNAcentral describes it as "bacterial LSU rRNA". It matches the Rfam family "Bacterial large subunit ribosomal RNA", at positions 836 to 2301 of the family's 2925-position model. The record is from RNAcentral.